Long non-coding RNA from Python bivittatus (Burmese python), 2755 nucleotides. RefSeq lists it as uncharacterized. The record is from RefSeq and is a predicted model, not a curated record. NCBI's taxonomy places the organism in Eukaryota, Metazoa, Chordata, Lepidosauria, Squamata, Pythonidae.
AUAUAAAUGCAACAUUUCAGCUUAUUUGUACAUUAGUAGAGUUUAAACAUUUUAUUGUCUUUAAGUGAACCAGUGAUUUUAAGUACCACUAUACUAAAAAUAAAGAAGAGAGGGAGAGGGGGAGGGCAGCAUGCCACGCAACAGCACAAAGUGCCAAGUUUCUGUGUCCACAUGAAUCCCAGGGGUAAAAAGUAUACUGAAAUGAAGGUGAUACUGGAGGAAAUAAACCCUAGUAUGAUAAUAUAGUGUGCCUUUUCCUAAUUCCCACUGUCCUGCACUGCUUAAAUGGCCAACUGACAAAAGAAGAUGGGUACAUUAUUUCAAGUAUAAGGAAAAAUACUAAUAGGUAUCUUUGCAAAGAGCCUCAAUACAUGUAUCCGCUAUUAUGCCUGCUUCAUGAAGGGACAGCGUUUUAGGCAAUAGCAUUUCAGCUGUACCUUCAGAUUAGGUAUUUAUGUGCAAAGCAGAAAAGCUGCCUUUUUACUCCAGAUGGUUUGGACAUAAAGAUAAUUUGCUUUACAAAUAAGGCUAAAUGGAGUUAACUUCUUCCAUUUUAUAUUAAAAUAUUUUCCGCUACAGGAUAUGCUCAUUGGAAAUGAAGCAAAAUUUACUAAGUUGGACAUCUAUCAACAGUUUCCUGAUCAAUUCUGUAAACACAGCCCCACAGGAGCUCUAAAAUUAAAGCAGCAUUUCAAGUCUCUCUAAAUAGUGGAAGCUAUAAUAGUUUUCUACUCUUUAUCCUCCUCCUUUCCUUGUCCUGCUCCAUCCAAUGUUGCUGCUUUUUAUUUUAAAAGUUACGUAUUCUCCAAAAGACACAGUGCAUAAUUAUUAACAAAGCAAAGCUGCAAUGUUAUCCUAGGAGUUUGCACUUCAGUCUUCUGUAAGAAAUUAGAAUCUAGACUGAACACAAAUAAGCACAGAUUUUUUUAGAUACAUCCACAUCACAUGGAGUUUGAUUCUGUAGAAUUAUUAAUCACAAUAGCUUCGGCCAGAGCUGCUGCUUGAAGAGUAAAGGAUGGAAAAAUUCAGAAGACUGUAUAAUUAGAAGAGUUCAAAUAUACAAUGGAACAAAUAUAUAAUGGAAUCAAAGAGAACCAAAUGUUAUGUUUUUCUAAAAUCCAAAUCCAAACAUCUGGGCUCAAUAUGCACAUUCCUGAGAUGCACGCCUACAACUGAAUAAUAUGAUCAGAAGAGAGAAAAAGAAGCAAAGGCUCCCUGACAAUUACAGAAUUUACCCAGACCUCUUUCUGUCCCAAAGAUUUUGAGAAAGCUGUAAGGCAUUUCACAAGCAGCUUCUAUUAAUGAAAUUUACCUGUUUCCAUGUUCUAUUGGCAUACAAUGGCUUGUGUGUAUUGGGAAGUAGGCAGCAUGUUUAACCACAUACACAGGGAAAAAAGUCAGAUAGCAUCACCAUCCUUAAGCAGAUCAUUCAAACAAAUAUUGUCAUUUUGUGUUCCUCUUGCAAACUGCAAGUGAUGUUUCCUCUCCCAAUCGCAGGAAGAAAUGCUAUUCCACUGAAUGGUCAAUCUAGCAAAAAGCCCAUGUCUAAUAAAAGCAAUAGUAAAUAGAAUACAUAAAAGAUGGCAAAUUAUACAUAGUUAAACUCAAGAGAGAGUGCAUUUAAAAAAAAAUGUACCUAUUAAAGAUUGGCAUUUUUAUGUUAUAUGUACAAGCCACAAGAGUGAGGCUAAUAUAAGAAAGAGGUAAUAAAGCAAUAUGAACAGUUCAGUAUUGUAAUUUCUCCUUAAUUGUAAAAAGUAAUUCAGAAUAUGUGACAUCUUAAAAUGGAAAGGAUCACUGAGUGUCCUUUCCCAUUUUCUCAGGAAUAGUAUGGGAAAGGAGACAUCUUGUUAAUUACACCUCAAUAUAAUAAUACUUAUAAAAAGUACUUUCUCUUUAAAGCACUUCAUAAAAAAAAACAUUUCUCUCUGUGUGAGAGAAAUAAGUAUUAUUAUCCUCAUUUUACAAAUGAGGAAACUGAGGCAAAGUUAAUUGACUUUUGCAUAAGGCUAAAAGAGGAAAGAAUACAGGCCAGAAUUAGAAAUUUAGGGCUUUCAUUCUUUCAAUCCAGUCUUCAAAGCAUUACAGGAAGAUAUAACUUUACUUAGUAUUAAAGAUAAUAUAAGAUUUUCAAAAGGCUGGUUACACUAAAGGAGAAUAAGCACCACGAGGUAUUUUGCAACAAAGAGCUGAAACCUUUUCUCCUUUUUUUCCUUUUAAAAAAGGCAUCUAUCAGAGUAAAAUCCUGAUCAGAUGACAUCUGCAAGGCAAGUAUGCACAAGAAAAUGAGUGAUCAAGUCUAUUAUUCAUUACAGUACUGUGAAAUCCAACAAAAGGAAUCUGCAUGAAAAACACUGAAUUUUAGGAGAAUCUCUUGGCUAUGAUACUGCAUCCAAGAUAAUGCCAAGUAAACCAAGGCAGAUGCCAAAGUUCACAACACCCAAGGCAACAUACCUCGAUUAACACAGGAAGCAGCCUCUGCAUUUUGGAGAUCACUGCAGCAGCUAUUUAUGCUAGAGCCAAGAGCAAUGCACAAACAGUAUCUGCAGUGUGAAAGGAAGGUGGAUGGUUAGACACACGUGAGCAUUCCACUAAAGAGCUUCCCACAAAGGAGAGGUGCUCCAAUCCUCCAACAUGUAUGCUAUUCCAGACUACAUUUCUUUCCCAAGUUUUAAAUAUUUGCUAAAGGGAUGUGAUGGAAUUGUUACUUGGGGUAAGUAAGUUGUGAAACAUGUAUUUAUUUUUGAUACUCCUU